AUGGCCAUAAUAUCCUGAACAUGCCCGAUCUCAUCUGAUCUCAGAAGCUAAGCAGGGUCAGGCCUGGUUAGUACUUGGAAAGGAGAAAGUAUGCAGAAUUCUAAC
This 105-nucleotide ribosomal RNA is filed under the name Prolemur simus (greater bamboo lemur). The record is from RNAcentral. Lineage: Eukaryota; Metazoa; Chordata; Mammalia; Primates; Lemuridae.